RNAcentral lists this ribosomal RNA (494 nucleotides) under uncultured bacterium. RNAcentral describes it as "bacterial SSU rRNA". It matches the Rfam family "Bacterial small subunit ribosomal RNA", at positions 30 to 521 of the family's 1533-position model. The record is from RNAcentral.
AUUGAACGCUGGCGGCAUGCCUUACACAUGCAAGUCGAACGGUAACAGGUCUUCGGAUGCUGACGAGUGGCGAACGGGUGAGUAAUACAUCGGAACGUGCCCGAUCGUGGGGGAUAACGCAGCGAAAGCUGUGCUAAUACCGCAUACGAUCUACGGAUGAAAGCGGGGGAUCGCAAGACCUCGCGCGGACGGAGCGGCCAAUGGCAGAUUAGGUAGUUGGUGGGAUAAAAGCUUACCAAGCCGACGAUCUGUAGCUGGUCUGAGAGGACGACCAGCCACACUGGGACUGAGACACGGCCCAGACUCCUACGGGAGGCAGCAGUGGGGAAUUUUGGACAAUGGGGAAACCCUGAUCCAGCCAUGCCGCGUGCAGGAUGAAGGCCUUCGGGUUGUAAACUGCUUUUGUACGGAACGAAAAGGUCCUUCUAAUAAAGAGGGCUCAUGACGGUACCGUAAGAAUAAGCACCGGCUAACUACGUGCCAGCAGCCGCGGU